This is a long non-coding RNA of Alligator sinensis (Chinese alligator), 4467 nucleotides long. RefSeq lists it as uncharacterized. NCBI's taxonomy places the organism in Eukaryota, Metazoa, Chordata, Crocodylia, Alligatoridae. The transcript is spliced from 5 exons. The record is from RefSeq and is a predicted model, not a curated record.
CAGCUGUCGCCUGCGAAGCGCGGAGCGGAGCACAGCUCAGAACAGCACUGGCUCUUCGCCUGCGUCUGACAGGCAGGGAUAAGAUCACAGCCGCGGGCGGCUACUACUGUCACCCGGAGCGGGCCCCUCAUUGGAGCCUAUAAGAUUUGAUGAUCCUAAAGCAGCUAUAUAUCUACAGACAAACCAAACAAACUUUAACAAGAAAGUUACUAGCCAUGGAUGGUGAGUGCCAAGGUAGGCAAGUUUUAACCACACACCUUCCUCGUAUGACUUAUCCUUUGUUGUGAACUGGAAAAUACCAAGUGCUUCAGCAAAAAAUGGUAUCAGGUUAUAAGGUAUCAAGCAAGAGUACAGGAGGUUGGCAAGGGGCUGAAAACACUACCAGCAUGUGUUCCUGGGAAGGGAGCGGGAACGCCAGACUGAGCCUCAUAGCAAUCUACUGUCCACACCCUCAUUCCAUGGUUCCUGUGUAUAGGAUGGCUUUUCUGUUCCCUUGGCCUCUGUCUACUCCAUUCCCUACUAAAGAAGUAUAAAAGAACUAUCCAGAUUUUUUGCUGAAUGUACUCCUACAAUUAUGAUUGGGCAGCCUCGCUGAUGUGAACACUAAUGUUUCCGACAUGGUUGUGUUAUUAAAAAACCUGCUGAAUGACUGUUUUUUGGGGUAAUGAAUCAUAUUUGCUGUAAUCAGGUCAACCAAGAAUUUCACAAUGAGAUUGUACAGCAUGCACAGCACCUAAGAGAAGCAGCAAUGUUUACGGGUUAGGGUAAAAGACACAGACAAAUAGCUUUGAUAGCCUACAUACGUAUGUUGGCCUACAUAUGUAGCCAAGCUAACAGGUCAAGAUUUUCAAUCCUCCGUGCUUAAAGUUAGGUCCAUAUUUAGGCACCUAAACAAAAAAUGCCUGAUAUUUUUUCAACGACAAUACAUUUGUGAUAGAUAUUAAGUUGUAGAAGGAUGGAAACCAUAAAAACUGUUCUACUGUGGUGUGAUAAAUGCUGCAGGUGCAUGGGAUCUUCAUAGACUACUGCUGUGCUGUGUAACUGGUGGCCCAUAGGCUGAAUGUGGCUCCCAAUGGGUUAGGGUGCCAGUCUCCCUUUUGCUCUCCAGUUGCUGUGGCUGGAGUCCUCCUUUGGCUUCCACUAUGUGCCCCUGCCCCUGUGGGGAGCCUGUGAGGCUGAGAGAGCUUGUGGCUAGGGAGGUCAGAGGGAGCUUGUACCCCAUGAAUGCAGAGGCGCCACUGCAGUGCAGGGCAGGGGGGCAGGCAGCACAUCUGCAUGGUGCAGGGCGUGGGGCAUGUGGCUUAGCUCACCUGGCCCAGUGGGAGGCCAUGUGGCUUGGGAGGCUCACCAUAUUGGGGAUGUGUGCAUGGCUCAUGAAGCUUGUGCAGUGCAUGGAGGUGAGGUAGUGUGGCUAAGGGAGUGCAUGUGGUGCAUCAGGGAUUGAUGCGAUACAGCAUGGGUGGGAGCUAUACAGUGCUGUGAGCAGCCCCCAUAGCAUGUGGCUGGGGGGCCUAUGGCCCCUGACCACUCAGAAAUUGGGCAGACCUGAACUAGUGUAUCAACAGGCAAUUUAUGUGUCUUGUUUUCCUAACUCCCUGGGCACUGGGCAGGUUUCUUAUGGAAUCCCUGAGAGAAGUUAAUUAAUACAGAUUCCCAAUACAGAUUGUAUUUUUCAGGUUUGUCCCAUGUGGAAAAUAUGACUGACUCACCUGGUUCAAGAGACCUAGCAAAGAAAGGCGUUCACCCUGUAUAAAGUGACCUACAGAUAUGAGAGGAGGUCAAGCUCAUGGGAAGAAAGAACUGACAAAUUACAUACAGUAUCAGCCAAGAUCCAACACUGAUGAUAGAUAAACCCUAGUAAAUUCAGUAUGCAUGUAGACUGUUUACUGUUGUUUUCUCUAUAAUGCAUUUGUCCUAAAAUAAAAUGUCCUGUGCUUUGUCACAGCCAGGUGGUUGACACUGUCUUUGGCCCAAAGUGACAACAUAUUUGCAGGUGCUGAACUAACUCAAAACUAGUGGGUUAAUAGGAGUGAAUUAUGAGAGGUCUAUAGCCCUAAAGUAGCAUUCUGGAGGAAGAUGUACAUACUCCGCUCCUAUCACACCAAGAGAUUUGAGGCCCGGGAGCACCCCUGGGAUGGUUCCAAAGAGUCUUAGACCCUCAGAUUUUAAUAUUUUUGUCAUCUGUAGAUUCUUCUAUUUUUUAUCAUUAUGAUAAACUGCCAUUCCCAAUACAUCUGUCCAACAAUAGGAUGCAAAACUAGACUUGAGUCUACACACCAUCUGCUUACAUGUCUUAAUUUUGACAGUAAAAGGAAAUAACAUAAAUGCAUGACUGCUAUUAUUAGGGUGCUUAUUAUAUUCAAACAAACAAGGGAUGUAGUCACAGCUGAAUGUAGAGAUGUUGAUGCCCUAUUAGCUGAAUCUAAAGCAGCUUCUUCUAUCCUUCAGUAAUGGCUCAUCACAGCACCUCCCAUAUGGGCAGCAGCUUGCUAAUACCCUCCAUUCACAGCUGUCCUGUGUAAUGGCAGCAUGUGGCUUCCAGUCAUCUUGAUUAAGGCAGCUUUUCAGACCAACUAGCUAGAGGCUUUGGUAUGUUGCAUUAUUUUGUCUAAGUGGCUUCUACAACUUCUGGGCAACUUGUUAUUUCUGUUAAUGUGAAAUAAAGUUUCUGGAUAAAUCCCUUUGUGUUUUAACAAGAACUGAUUCACAGAAAGUAAACAACAAAGGUCUAUUUACUUAUUAUAAAUUAUUUUGGCUUUGUGACAGCCAAGACCCUAUGUUUUCAUGAGGAAACAAGAUCUAACAUUUGUGACAUUUGAAUAUUUCCCGCUUUCUUUGGUGCUCCAGUGCAGGCUGGCAAACCUGCUGCAGGUUCAGGUAAUAUAAAAUUAUGGAAGAUUUUAUUUAACGGAAUAUGAAAACACUGUGAUAACUCCAAUAUUCCCUGUAGUAUUUAAUUUGGCUUCAGUUCAUUUUACACUUCUCAAAAACUUUCAGUCUUCACUGUGCUGAAAAUCUGUCUUGUAGAAGUUAUCAGAGGAGAAGACUGAUAUAUUUUAGCAUUUGGUUAAAGGGGCGCCUUGGUAUUUGGUAAGACAUAGGUGGUUUGGAAUUGGGGAAAACCAUCCUCUGGAAGUUUUGCUAAAAGAAUUAGAAGUGACAUAGUUAUUAAUUUUGAUUUUUAAAUUUAUGGCCAUUAGAAUAUUUUUAGGCUUUGUACAGACAAUGGGGAAGCUUAAAAUAGGAGACUAGCAUUGACCAGUGGUUAAUGUGUAGAUAACUUUAUUUAUGGGCUUAGAAAUAUUAGUUUUUAAAAAAACCCACAAAUGAUUAGUCAGUGCAUAGGCACCUAAUUAUAGCUAAUAACACAUAAUAACAUGUGAGAGCUCACACACUGAUCCUCCAACCAGCACUGAGUCAAUGCCUAUGGACUACUUCCACAAUGGGAUUGUCACAGUAGCCAUAUUAUAUGUAAUUAGUAGCAAUCAUAAGCACUGUAGAUAUCUCCCAUGUCCUAAAUACUAUUAUUCUAGCCUCUCUAGGUAUUUUCAAUAGUAAUUCCACUCUGCACUCUCUGUGACUUUAUGUGGAAUUACAUUCUGAAAGAGAAGGUUAAGGUUGUGUCAUUUUGUGUCAGGCACAUAAAAAUUAGAAAAUGCCAAUAUUGAGAAGAAGAUAACCUGUGCAAUUUUAAGUCAAAUGCCUCGCUCUUUAUAAUACAGUUCUAAAUAAUGCUAUUACAUACACUUUUUCACAGCUCCAGUCCAUGUGUGAUUUUUUUCCCCACAUUGUACUUGCUCAUUAUCCCUACCUCCACACAGAGUGCACGAGAGAGAAGCUCCGAGUUACCCACACUGAUGCUUCAACAGCAGCUUGAAGGAAUAUUGCAAGAAAUGUCCUGGCUAGCUGCUGCAACUCUAAGAUAGAGGGUGCUCAGUGCAGAAAGAGUCUUUAGCAAAUUCAGGUGCCAAAAUAUACCUCUGAGAAUGUGAACACUUUUGCAGAGGUCUGUAAUUUGGGCAAACCUUUGUAGGGACCACAAAUGGUACAUUCAACAUAUUUGCUAAAUUUCAAGUUACUACCUCAAGGCACUGCUUUGUAACAGAUUGGGGAAUUCUUUUUAAUAUAGGCAAAACAAUGUAUUCUCUUUAAACUCUUUCCUGAAAAUGGCUAAAUUAGCUUAAUUAAAAUUCCCCCUUCCCCUGGUCUCCAUCCCUCUAAAAAGAUGUCGGAAACUGGAAAGUGGCAUGGAAACCUAAAAUGUUUAGCAGAUUUCUAAGUAGUUUAAGUCACUGUUUUGUACUGAAAAGUGUAAGACACUGUUUACUAUAAGAAUUCCUAUCUGCCCUCCCUAAAACAAAAAAAAAAAAGGAUUUUUACCAAAGCUGAUACUUGUAAUGACAUGUCACCCUCACUGUGCUUGUACCUCUUUUUAUUCACCAGUCCUGAGCAUUUAUUUGUAUGACU